Molecule: long non-coding RNA, 753 nt
Filed under: Salmo salar (Atlantic salmon)
Lineage: Eukaryota; Metazoa; Chordata; Actinopteri; Salmoniformes; Salmonidae
Description: lncRNA (ENSSSAG00000112223.1)
Source: RNAcentral
CAAACCUACCAAACAGCAGCAGCCAGCAGGCGACAGCUGUCUGCCGUUUUGAAAAGCAGCUCAACCUCUGUUUUCGUCCUGCCGCACAUCGCUUUGUCAACAACAGUUGACAACCCGUUACAGAAUUACCCACCACAAAAAGACCAAGCAGUGGAGAAGAGGGCAGAUGGAAGUCAAGGAGGACUAUAGGAAGCAGCGCGCUCGGGAGGAGAUGGCAUCCUGGUCGCUGGAGGUGUGUGUUGGAGUCAAGGGUUGACUGGACAUGGGAGCAAUUGCUGGACCACUGUGACAACCUGCCAGGUAGAGCCCGAGAGGCAGCCCCAAUUUUUUUGGGGGGGCACACGGGGAGUGUGGCAGAGUCAGGUUGGAGACCUGAGCCAGCUCCCCGUGCUUACAGGAGGCAACGUAGUACUGGUCAGGCACCGUGUUAUGCAGUAAAGCGCACGGUGUCCCCAGUACGCGUGGAGAGCCCGGUGCGUUACAUCCCAGCUCCUAACAUCUGCCGGGGGAGAUUGGGCAUCGAGCCAGGACGAGUUGUGCAGGCCGUGCGCUCUAGACCUCCAGUGCGUCUUCAGGACCCGGUCUAUCCUGUGCCUGCGCCCAGAACCAGGCCUCCUGCAUGUCUCUCCAGCCUGGUGAAUCCUGUGCCGCCUCCACGAACCAGGCCUCCAGUGGGUCUCCCCAUCCUGGUCAGUCCUGUGCCUGCUCCACGGACCAGGCCUCCAGUGGGUCUCCCCAUCCUGGUCUCUCCUG